GUCCACGCCGUAAACGAUGAUCACUAGAUGUGGGUCUGGCAUAGCCGGGUCUGUGUCGUAGCAAACGCGCUAAGUGGUCCGCCUGGGAAUUACGGUCGCAAGAUUAAAACUCAAAGGAAUUGACGGGGGUCCGCACAAGCGGUGGAACAUGUUGUUUAAUUCGACACUACGCGAGGAACCUUACCUGGGUUUGACAUGUAACUGCCACUGAUAGAAAUAUUGGGUUCUGUAGCAAUACAGACGGUUACACAGGUGCUGCAUGGCUGUCGU
This 270-nucleotide ribosomal RNA is filed under the name uncultured bacterium. RNAcentral's name for it is "partial 16S ribosomal RNA". It matches the Rfam family "Bacterial small subunit ribosomal RNA", at positions 793 to 1055 of the family's 1533-position model. The record is from RNAcentral.